Molecule: long non-coding RNA, 164 nt
Organism: Trifolium pratense (red clover)
Lineage: Eukaryota; Viridiplantae; Streptophyta; Magnoliopsida; Fabales; Fabaceae
Exons: 2
Source: RefSeq, a predicted model, not a curated record
UCACUUUUCUUGCUUCUGGGCCAAGUAUCUUCACUUUUCCAGGUUAAUAUAACUGUCGGAUGAAGCUGAUUAUGUGGUAGAUUGCUAAUAGUUGUUGAUCGAUUGGUCAGAUAUCCAUUAUAUUGAUGUUCUCAUGUUAAAUAUUAAUGUACUGGUUUUUGUUA